GAUGAAGAACGCAGCGAAAUGCGAUAAGUAGUGUGAAUUGCAGAAUUCAGUGAAUCAUCGAAUCUUUGAACGCACAUUGCGCCCCUUGGUAUCCCGAGGGGCAUGCCUGUUCGUGCGUCAUUUCACCACUCAAGCCUGGCUUGGUGUUGGGCGACGUCCUCUUUGGGGACGCGCCUCGAAACGCUCGGCGGCGUGGCACCGGCUUUAAGCGUAGCAGAAUCUUUCGCUUUGGAAGUCGGGGCCCCGUCUGCCGGAAGACCUGCUCGCAAGGUUGACCUCGGAUCAGGCAGGGAUACCCGCUGAACUUAAGCAUAUCAAUAAGCGGAGGA
This 329-nucleotide unclassified non-coding RNA is filed under the name soil metagenome. RNAcentral describes it as "partial contains 5.8S ribosomal RNA, internal transcribed spacer 2, and large subunit ribosomal RNA". The stretch from base 1 to 120 matches the Rfam family "5.8S ribosomal RNA", at positions 35 to 154 of the family's 154-position model. The record is from RNAcentral.